UAAGGAAUGACUGUAAUAUUUUUUCUGUCUAUGAAGAAAUAAAAUAAAAAAUUUGGUGCACACUGAAUACCGCGCGUAGCGGGUUGUUUUACAGUGUGCACCACAUUUUUUGUGUUAUUUCGAAUAGACAGAAAAAAAUAUAACAGUCAUUUCUUA
RNAcentral lists this small RNA (156 nucleotides) under Mytilus galloprovincialis (Mediterranean mussel). Lineage: Eukaryota; Metazoa; Mollusca; Bivalvia; Mytilida; Mytilidae. The record is from RNAcentral.